Molecule: non-coding RNA, 2428 nt
Organism: Macaca mulatta (Rhesus monkey)
Lineage: Eukaryota; Metazoa; Chordata; Mammalia; Primates; Cercopithecidae
Source: RefSeq, a predicted model, not a curated record
AAGCAAUUCUCCUGCCUCAGCCUCCCGAGUAGUUGGGAUUACAGGGGAUAGCUGUUCUUCUGCUGUAGUGGGAGACGUGGAAGAGCGUGGACUCUGGAGCUGGACUCCCUGGACUCAGAUCCUGGCUUUGCCUCUUAGUAGCUGUGUGACUUUGGGCCAUUCAGGUGAACAGGGCAAGAAAUGGAAAGCGCAUCCAAUCCAGGGGCAGUGAGUAUAGCCUGCUGUGUUUUGUUUUGAAAUUAUUUGAGUUAUUUUUCUUGUACCUCCCAAGCUGCCUGUCACAUGUGAAAAGCCGGGUUGAGGCUGUUAAGAUCAUACAAAUGGGUCUGUGUUUUGCAGCGGAAGGUUCCGAGUGCUGGAGACUCACAGAGAGGGAGGAAGUUUGGAGAUCACCACGUUCAGUGGUGUCGUUUUACAGAUGUGGGAAACUGAGGGCCUGAAACUUGCAUGAGGCAGUCCAAGACUCCUGACUUCUACGCCGGGGCUCUCUCACUUUCCAAAAACACUCCAGAAUCAACCAAUAUACUCACCCUCAUUUUCAACAGAGUAAAAUGCAUUUAGAUGUAACAAGACAAAAUCACAGCCUUCCCAAGCUCUGAGGUUGGUGAGCCCACGGCCUCCUGAAGCCCUCUGACCUGCCCAGCUCUCAGUCAUGGUCGACCGUUUAGGACCAGCAGCCCUGAGCCAGGCGCUGGUGUGUUCUUUCACAGGCAAUUUCUUUCAACCUUCUGAGCCCCUCUAGGAGGUGAGUCCUUUUCAGCUGUGGAAGUUAAGGCUGAGAGAAGUUAAAUAAUGCUCCUCAGUUACACAACGGGAAAGCGGGGCCGUGAUUGAAACACAGGACUGGCUCACUGCAAACACUGGUUUCAUCACUUCGUAGGGUUGUUGGAACGAUUGAGCAGGACAGCACCUAUGAAGCGCUGGUACGGUGCCCUGCACACACUGGGUACUUUAAAAUGUCAGGUCUCACCCCUCAUGUCUGUCCCGAGUCAUCCACCACCAGCAUUAACUCCAACAGAAAUAAUCUACAAUUAUUUCUUAUUAUUAACUCAUGGUUCACCCAAAGCGGCCUUUUCUACAGAGAGACUUGAAAACCUGGCGAAUUCAGUUCAGCAGCCCCCAAACACUAAUUUCACACAUGUGCUCAAGCUUGCUGACACUUGAGGGGUUGGCUGGUGGUUUGCAACCAAGCAGACCCCCAUUCAAGAGGCCAAGAAGCUGUUAUAUCUUCGUCACAAUUAAAAUUGACAAGGAGGGAUGUUCAUCCUGUCCCACCUCUUAGCCCGUCAUGAAAAUUCUGUGUCCGUCUCCAUCGCAGACAGCCAAGUUUGAGCAAUGUUCUUGUCAUUGUGGCUGGUCCCUACCAACUGUCUCCAUGCAUGUUUCUGGAGGCCUCGAAUUGAACAGUUAAGCAGCACGACAACUCGCUGUGUUGGAGAGUUUUAGUAAAGAGGGUGGAAAGGGAACAAGGAACUCAAGAAACCAGGGAGCCAGAGGUCAUUCCAUGACAACGGUCCACUUGUGUCUUUCCGCUGGUUCACCGUGGGGCUUUGCACACCUCACUCCAAACAGGGCAGCAGAUCUGUUCUCCCUCCCAUGCCGGUAACAUCAUGAGGGCCAAAUAAGCUAUGAGAAAAACCAGAUUCUUCCUCCUCCCAUCCUCACCCCUCCACCAUGCAGUUACCUCCAAGGCAGGACACCUCAGCCUGAAGUCCAGUGUCCAGGGACAUAGGAGGCCUGCAUCUGUGGGACAGGGGUGGGGAGUUGCAGCUGCAGGACGGCAGAGGUGGUGUCAAGGCUGAUGGAAGGAAAGGGAUGGUGGGAAGGGGAGGGGAUGGGCGUGAUGUUUACUGAGCACAUACUACGGGCCAAGAACUUGACACUUCUAAGCUUUCUUAAUCCCCACAGAAAUCCUGUGGGGUAGGAAUUAUUAUCUCCUUUGUACCAAUGAGGAAACAGAGGGUCAGUAGGGUUAGGUAACUCACCUGAGGUCAUAUGACUCUGGAGGUGGAGCCAGCAUUUGAAUGCAUGUCUUUUGAUUUCAAAUCUUACCUUCUUUCCAGGAAUACAGUCACCAUGUGAGAGCAAUUCCAAAGUGCUGACUCUGUUGCUUGUCCACGUUACCUUGUGACCCUCAGCCAGCUGCUUGCCUUCUCAGCUUUCUUACCUGCAAAAUGGGGUUAUAUCUAGUGCCUACUUCCUAGGGUUGUUGUAAGAAUUAGAUGAGAUAUGCACAUAAGGUGCUUAGUGCAAUGCCCAACAUGUUGGAAGAGUCCUGCAGAUGUCUGCCAUUGAUUUUAUCUUUGCGGCGGCUGCUCCUGCUGCCCUGGGAAGUCACUCUCCCUGUGCCUCAGUUUUCUCAUCUGUAAAAUGGGUGGAUUGGACUGGAGAUGCCUUAUCUUUCCAGCAAUAAAAUUAUAUUACUCUG